Hordeum vulgare subsp. vulgare (domesticated barley) is the source of this 93-nucleotide non-coding RNA. The record is from Rfam. Lineage: Eukaryota; Viridiplantae; Streptophyta; Magnoliopsida; Poales; Poaceae.
UUGCUGCAAAUGAGACGAGUUUUAUAGGUAAUUUGCGCCUGAGCUGUUUCUCUGAUGUCACACCCUUUUCACCUUGGAGAUCUUAUGCAUCUU